RNAcentral lists this transfer RNA (70 nucleotides) under Schizopygopsis younghusbandi. RNAcentral describes it as "tRNA-Ser". It matches the Rfam family "tRNA". From Rfam's summary of the family: Transfer RNA (tRNA) molecules are approximately 80 nucleotides in length. Their secondary structure includes four short double-helical elements and three loops (D, anti-codon, and T loops). Lineage: Eukaryota; Metazoa; Chordata; Actinopteri; Cypriniformes; Cyprinidae. The record is from RNAcentral.
AAGGAAGUGGCAGAGUGGCUAUGCGGCUGGCUGAAACCAGCAUACGGGGUUUCAAUUCCUCCCUUUCUCG